AGAUCUGUGUAGGAUAGGUGGGAGGCUUUGAAGCGGUGCCGCUAGGUGUCGUGGAGCCAACCUUGAAAUACCACCCUGAUCUGUUUGAGGUUCUAACCUUGGCCUGUUAUCCAGGUCGGGGACAGUGCAUGGUAGGCAGUUUGACUGGGGCGGUCUCCUCCCAAAGAGUAACGGAGGAGUACGAAGGUAUCCUCAGCACGGUCGGACAUCGUGCAAUGAGCGCAAAGGUAAAAG
Molecule: ribosomal RNA, 234 nt
Filed under: Alexandrium tamarense
Lineage: Eukaryota; Dinophyceae; Gonyaulacales; Pyrocystaceae
Description: partial Bacterial large subunit ribosomal RNA
Rfam family: Bacterial large subunit ribosomal RNA
Source: RNAcentral